GCGCUUUGGAGGCUUGAAGCCACCGGAAGUAUAGAAGUUUCACCCAAAACAAGAAAGCCUAACAACUAAGAGGAGUUCGAGAUGCCGUCUUGUGCUGCUAUUAAUGGCACAAAUCGUGAUACUCGUGAAAAUCGCGAGAAGGGACUUACAUUUCACAGAUUUCCACACUGCAAUGCUCAACUUCUAAAGCAAUGGGUAGUAAAUAUUCGGAGAGACAGGUGGAUUCCUGCAGCCAGAUCGCAACUCUGUUCAAGUCAUUUCACCGAGGAGAGCUUGGACAGGACCGGCCAGACUGUUAGAUGACGACAAAAUGCAGAUACAACAAUAUUUGACUUUCCCGAUCAUCUUCUAAAGAUUUUCGGGGCACCGCCUCCGCUCUCAUCUCAUUGGCUGAUUAUCGGGGCACCGCCUACGCUCUCAUCUCAUUGGCUGAGUCAUACAGCAUGUACGUGAGUUUGUGUGAGAGACAGGCUUCUCCCUUCAAACUCCUUCCUCUUCGUAGUUGCCCUGAAACUAACUUAAACAAUUAAAUAAAGUUACAAAUUAAAAUUUUGCACACAGCAUUAUCGUGUAGUUCGUGUGCGUUUGUCUGUGAGACCAGCUGACUCUCAGACUCUGAGUCGCGUUUCGACUCAGGUUAGUCCUUCUCCUUCCUGCCUCCACUUGCGCUCCUGAUCAAGACAUCUCGUGAACGGUAAGAUUGUUUUUGUUUUUCAGUUUUAUUCAUUUACAGUAAUCUUAUUUAUUACCUUAUUUUAUAUUGGAAUGUUACUCUAUGUUUAUGCUAACGUUUUAUUAUAUUUUCCCACCAUAUUUGGUGGAUUUUGAAUAUUUUGAUGAUGAUGAUGAUGAGACCCGGCCGGGCUCAGCCCAAAGAAGCCACACGGGAUCUCCCCCCCGUAGACCCACCACCUACGCCUUCUGGUUGGGGAAAGGGUCCUGACUGUCGUUUGUGUGUACGCGCCAAACGGCAGUUCAGAGUACCCAGCCUUCCUGGAGUCCAUCAGAGGGGUGCUGGAGAGCACCCCAACUGGUGACUCUGUCGUUUUGCUGGGAGACUUCAACGCCCAUGUGGCCAAUGACAGUGUGACCUGGAGGGGCGUGAUUGGGAGGAACGGCCUCCCCG
Long non-coding RNA from Dunckerocampus dactyliophorus (ringed pipefish), 1126 nucleotides. RefSeq lists it as uncharacterized. The record is from RefSeq and is a predicted model, not a curated record. NCBI's taxonomy places the organism in Eukaryota, Metazoa, Chordata, Actinopteri, Syngnathiformes, Syngnathidae. The transcript has 3 exons.